UUUUUUUUUUUUUUUCUUAAAUGAAAAGUAUAAGGGAUUUUAACCUCAUAAAGAAUAAGGAAAAUCAAUUAUGGUGAAGAAACAUUUCAUUUCUUACCGUUUAAAUAUUUCCUUCCUAAAUUGAUGGUUGAUGUAAUGUAGGCUGUAAAAAGAGAGGAGGCAGUUCCUGAAAUACCUUGGGCUCUAAAACCCAUUUUGUGAAAUAGCAAUGUAAUUUGAAUAUUUUAGGAACUGACCUCAAUGCUUAGAGCUUCCUUUGUAUGUUCUUAAACGAUGCCUUAACAUCGCAUUUACUUAUAUGUUAACAUGAAAGUUAUAAGUUGUCUUAUUGUAACGUUGACUUGUCCCUUCAGAGAAUCAGCCUUCCAUUAUGCUCAAGUAUUCAUCAACCUUCAGGGCUGGGAUGGUAUAAAAUAAUGGCAUGAGAUAUACCUAAUGCUAGAUGACGAGUUAGUGGGUGCAGCGCACCAGCAUGGCACAUGUAUACAUAUGUAACUAACCUGCACAAUGUGCACAUGUACCCUAAAACUUAAAGUAUAAUUAAAAAAAAAAAAGAAAAAGAAAAUCUAAAAAAAAAAAAAUAAUAAUAAUAAUGGCAUGACCGGGCCAGGCAUAUAAGGAUUUCCCUCCUCUCCUCAUUUUUAUUUUUAUUAUUUUGGGUACACAGUAGGUAUAUAUAUAUAUGAGGUACAUGAGAUGUUUUGAUACAGACAUGCAAUAUGAAAUAAUCACAUCAUAGAUUUCUCUUCUCUGGAAGAACUUACAACCUGUUGAGGUUUGCUAGCAAACCAAACUCUAACAAAGAACACUGUUUAUUUUUUCUUUUCUUUUCUUGAGAUAGAUAUUUUUUAUUUUAAGUUCUGGGAUACAUGUGCAGAACGUGCAGGUUUGCUAUUUGCUGCACCUAUCAACCCAUCAUCUAGGUUUUAAGCCCUGUUUUGAUUUGAAUAUUAUUCAAUACAAAUGAAGAUUGAAAUGUGGACAUUUAUGCUAAGAACAGCUUCUGGAAUUAUAGAUUUGCCUUGUAUUCUUACCAAUUGUAAGACGGAUAAACAAGCAGAAAUUCAAAAUGACAUAAUUAUAUUUCUUUGCAUCUGGAUUUUAUUCUGUUCCUGGUUCAAGUUUCAAGAUUGUCAAGAAUGACGAGUUGGACUUGGUCUAGUUACUUCCACAGCAGCAGGAGGAACAUGUGUGUGACUCAGGAUAACUGGGGAAGCCUUGGCUAGGCUUUCCUCAUGUCAACCUACCACUCAAAGGGAGAAAACCUCCUGAUCAGAGGUGCCCAGAACCCAGGAAAUCCAUAAUUUUUGAAUGCUGGCCGAGGUCUGUGACCUCUGACUGAAUGGUUUCCAAGCUCCGAAUUCCUAGGUGAUGUUUUCAUUUGUUCACACUUGCUGAAGAAGGGAAAGGCUCUCUGAUUUACGUGUAAGCAAAACAAUCUAAACAGUAGGAUAAAAUCAUGUUGGAAUGGAGUUCUGUGUGGAUGCUCCUUUGAACCAAAUCAGUUCCACAACUGACCCUGUCAGGGACAUAUAAAUUUAGCAUUUUGGUGUGGAUACAGAAGACGAGAUUAACACAGAUCAAGUAACAUGGAAAUAAAAAAGGAGACAAUGCUGGAUGAUACAGGGGCAGCCAACAAGAGGAGAAAACCCAAGCAUUGGCAAAUGCCUCAUUAUCCAAAGAACACUGAGGUGUGGAGCAAAACUGUGUUGAAUGAACUGUAGAUGGAAAUUCUCUCCUUCCCACCGAGGAGCCGCUGCAGGUUGCAGACUCCCAGAAUGCCACACUGAGAAGAGGAGGGCUAAAAUUCUAGAGCAGAAUCCCUGGGGCAGCCCCUGCUGAAGAAGGGUGCAUCUGUUGAGAAUCUCAUCACCGCCCCCACCCCGCCCAGCCUUCAAUUUAGAGGAAUUUCUAGUUCACGCAGAAUGAAGACAAGAUCACAUAAGUGAGGACGACGCCCCAUUUACAAGUGUGAUUUGGAAGACUGAAGUGGAAACCUUGGGAAGGGGCCUCAGAGUAUGUCAGCUGGGGUCAGACGGGAACAGGAGUCUGGCUCAACACACAUUUAUUGCACUCCUGUUUCAUGCCAAGAAAUGUACCAAAAUCUGGGACUGUGUAACACAGCAAAGGAAAAGACUCAUCUCCAGGAAGCCCCCUUGUCUAGGAAGAGAAAUUGAAUAUCAGCAUAAGGUGGUGAAAAGCUGUGAAGGAGAUGAGUGCCAGGAGUCCAUGGAGGAAGGAUUCUAGCCUGGACAGGUGAGGAAUGGCUUUCUGGAAGAAGCAGAUGCCCCAGCUGAACUUUAAAAUGCCCAUGUGAAAUGAACUGUCUGUAUCUUCAAUCAGCAAAUGGAGUAGGUGGCCACUGUUUAAUUCUGGAAUGGGGAAGUGUAAAGGUGUGGUGUGUGUGUUUACCCCUACUUAGGGAUUCAAAACAGACAGUAAAGAACAAAAGUCUAGCCCUUUGAGCAUUCUCCAUGGGACAUUUGAGGUCUAGCUGGCCCCAGAGAAAGAGAGACAGAAGCAAGGUCAUAUCCAUUUGAGAAAAUCAAAGUGUCUGCUCCAAUUGAGUCUGGUGUCCUUAUUCCUGGAAUAGCCAUCCCUACUGCUCUGGUGCUGAUUUACCUCCGGCAGUUCAGUGCUUCCUGGAAGGUAGGCUGGGCUUUUUAACAAAGUGACUCCUUACUUGACAUGUUUUACCCAAACACAGAGGCCACUGCACUAUGUGCAAGAAACAACAAAAAAUUAAAUGAGACUCAAUGCCUUCCUUAGGGAUCUAAAACCCCAGUAACACAGAUAAACAGGUAAACAAAUAAUGUGAUGGUGUGAUUCUAUAGCAACAGGAAUAGAGCACUGCAGGGCCACCGAAGGAAAAGGUGAUGACCUGGCUUGGAUUCAGUGAUAAAAAGGGGCUUACCUCCUUUCUCUGUUUCUGCUAAAAGCCAGUGAUUACCCCCUGCUUUUCCCAUGUUGGGCAUAGCUGUAAGUACUUUAGACAUAGCGGCACAUUUAAUCAUCAUGCAACAAUAAGAGGAAGCUGAGGCAGACAGAAGUGCCCAAAGUCACAUACUUGAAGCCAGGACUUGAACCUGGGCUAUCUGGCUCCUGAAUCCAUGGCUUUCACUAAUAAUGACUUACCCUCCAAUGAGGAACAAGCUCCAUUCUGGCCUUUCUUUAGCGAAGGCAACUGCCUGAGCUCAUGGUCUGAUCUGGCUUCUGGGAAAGAGAAAGCAGGGGAAACGUCUAGAGAUGGCAUACUGGGAGAAGAAAUUUCUUGCUGUGGAAUCCUGCCCCCAUCUCCCUCCCCACCAUACACAAUCCCACGUGCAUUUACACCUACACGCCGUGUACACACGAACAUUUUUUCUGCUACUCCCAUGGGCCCCAACUCUGCCUUUUCAUCAAAAUCACCCAGAGUUUUAAAUAAAAUGCAGAUGUUGAGGCUUGUUCCUAAAUUAUAAUCUUGGGCAUCUAAAUUUUUUGAUUAAAAAAAAUUGACAUGCAUGCUUAAAGUAAAAAUUUAGACAAUACAGCAAAGAAUGUGUUUGUACCCCUCCCACCUAGCCCUUAGUUCUUCCGAAAGGCAAAUACUUAACCGUUCCUUGUUAUCCUUCCAGAAAACAAUAUAUGCAUAUAUUCAUCUUUUUUUUCUUCUUCCUCUGUAGGUGAUUGUGGUGAAUAGUCAUGAGAAUCUGGGAACUGGCUCCUGCUCUGUCUAUCUUGGAGAUGCAUCUUUUGUGAGAAGCCAGGGCAAGAAUAGGGAGGCUUAGGCAAUGGGAAGUUUCUGAGUAGAUAAAGCAGAUGGCAGAGCAAAGGGACAGAGCCUGGCGAGAGGCUACUCCCUGUAGCAACCUGCCUAAGAGUGAGAGGAAAGCAAGGCAUGGCUAUGAGCACGUGUAGUCUCAGCUACUUGGGAAGCUGAGGCUGGGGGAUCACUUGAGCCCAGGAGUUCAAGACCAGCCUAGGCAACAUAGUGAGACCAUGUCUCUUUAAAAAAAAAAAAAAAAAGAAAAA
Homo sapiens (human) is the source of this 4011-nucleotide long non-coding RNA. Ensembl annotates it as long intergenic non-protein coding RNA 1206. Lineage: Eukaryota; Metazoa; Chordata; Mammalia; Primates; Hominidae. The record is from Ensembl.